GUCUGUGGCCACUCUGAACAAGCCUGAUAUCUGAUCUCGGAAGCUAAGCAGGGUCGGUCCUGAUUAGUACUUGGAUGGGAGACCGCCUAGGAAGACCAGGUUCUAUAGGCA
RNAcentral lists this ribosomal RNA (111 nucleotides) under Pteropus alecto (black flying fox). Lineage: Eukaryota; Metazoa; Chordata; Mammalia; Chiroptera; Pteropodidae. The record is from RNAcentral.